CUGGCGGCAUGCCUUACACAUGCAAGUCGAACGGCAGCACGGAGCAAUCCNGGUGGCGAGUGGCGAACGGGUGAGUAAUAUAUCGGAACGUGCCCAGUCGUGGGGGAUAACGUAGCGAAAGCUACGCUAAUACCGCAUACGAUCUAUGGAUGAAAGCGGGGGAUCGCAAGACCUCGCGCGAUUGGAGCGGCCGAUAUCAGAUUAGGUAGUUGGUGAGGUAAAGGCUCACCAAGCCGACGAUCUGUAGCUGGUCUGAGAGGACGACCAGCCACACUGGGACUGAGACACGGCCCAGACUCCUACGGGAGGCAGCAGUGGGGAAUUUUGGACAAUGGGCGCAAGCCUGAUCCAGCAAUGCCGCGUGCAGGAUGAAGGCCUUCGGGUUGUAAACUGCUUUUGUACGGAACGAAACGGUGAGCUCUAAUACAGUUUGCUAAUGACGGUACCGUAAGAAUAAGCACCGGCUAACUACGUG
This 475-nucleotide ribosomal RNA is filed under the name uncultured bacterium. RNAcentral's name for it is "bacterial SSU rRNA". It matches the Rfam family "Bacterial small subunit ribosomal RNA", at positions 36 to 507 of the family's 1533-position model. The record is from RNAcentral.